This 253-nucleotide ribosomal RNA is filed under the name uncultured bacterium. RNAcentral's name for it is "partial 16S ribosomal RNA". It matches the Rfam family "Bacterial small subunit ribosomal RNA", at positions 524 to 776 of the family's 1533-position model. The record is from RNAcentral.
UACAGAGGGUGCAAGCGUUGUUCGGAAUUAUUGGGCGUAAAGCGCGUGUAGGCGGCUUUGCAAGUCGGGUGUGAAAGCCCUCAGCUUAACUGAGGAAGUGCGCCCGAAACUGCUUGGCUUGAGUACCGGAGAGGAUGGCGGAAUUCCCCAAGUAGAGGUGAAAUUCGUAGAUAUGGGGAGGAACACCGGUGGUGAAGGCGGCCAUCUGGACGGAUACUGACGCUGAGACGCGAAAGCGUGGGUAGCAAACAGG